ACUCAAAGGAAUUGACGGGGGCCCGCACAAGCGGUGGAGCAUGUGGUUCAAUUCGACGCAACGCGAAGAACCUUACCUGGGCUCGAAAUGCAGGUGACCGUCCAAGAAACUGGGCUUUCCCGCAAGGGACACCUGUAUAGGUGCUGCAUGGCUGUCGUCAGCUCGUGUCGUGAGAUGUUGGGUUAAGUCCCGCAACGAGCGCAACCCUCAUCGUUAGUUGCUCUCCCGCAAGGGAAGCACCCUAACGGAACUGCCUCAGAUAAUGGGGAGGAAGGUGGGGAUGACGUCAAGUCCUCAUGGCCUUUAUGUCCAGGGCUACACACGUGCUACAAUGGCCGGUACAAAGCGUCGCGAACUCGCGAGAGGGAGCCAAUCGCAAAAAACCGGUCUCAGUUCGGAUUGCAGUCUGCAACUCGGCUGCAUGAAGCUGGAAUCGCUAGUAAUCGCGUAUCAGAACGACGCGGUGAAUACGUUCCCGGGCCUUGUACACACCGCCCGU
This 499-nucleotide ribosomal RNA is filed under the name uncultured bacterium. RNAcentral's name for it is "partial 16S ribosomal RNA". It matches the Rfam family "Bacterial small subunit ribosomal RNA", at positions 899 to 1397 of the family's 1533-position model. The record is from RNAcentral.